This 506-nucleotide ribosomal RNA is filed under the name Hydroglyphus geminus. RNAcentral describes it as "partial 16S ribosomal RNA". It matches the Rfam family "Bacterial large subunit ribosomal RNA", at positions 1829 to 2597 of the family's 2925-position model. The record is from RNAcentral. Lineage: Eukaryota; Metazoa; Arthropoda; Insecta; Coleoptera; Dytiscidae.
GUCCUUUAGAAUAGAAUUUAAGGUCUAACCUGCCCACUGAGGAAUUUAACGGCCGCAGUAUUUUGACUGUGCAAAGGUAGCAUAAUCAUUAGUUUUUUAAUUGAAAGCUUGUAUGAAUGGUUGGACGAGAUAUAAACUGUCUUUAGGUUAAAAAUAGAAUUUAAUUUUUAAGUUAAAAAGCUUAAAUAAUAUUAAAAGACGAGAAGACCCUAUAAAUCUUUAUAAAUUUAUUUAUUUAAUUUUUUAGGAUUUUUAAUUUUUAUAUAAAUAAGUUUAUUUUAUUGGGGUAAUAAAAAGAUUUAAUAAAUUCUUUUUAAAGUUUACAUUGAUUAGUGAAUUUAAUGAUCCUAUAUUAUAGAUUAUAAGAUUAAGUUACUUUAGGGAUAACAGCGUAAUUUUUUUAGAGAGUUCUUAUCGAUAAAAAAGUUUGCGACCUCGAUGUUGGAUUAAAAUUAAUUUUAGGUGUAGAAGUUUAAAUUUUUAGUCUGUUCGACUAUUGAAAUUUU